Molecule: ribosomal RNA, 164 nt
Filed under: uncultured bacterium
Lineage: Bacteria
Description: partial 16S rRNA
Rfam family: Bacterial small subunit ribosomal RNA
Source: RNAcentral
UAGGGAAUCUUCGGCAAUGGACGAAAGUCUGACCGAGCAACGCCGCGUGAGUGAAGAAGGUUUUCGGAUCGUAAAACUCUGUUGGUAGAGAAGAACGUUGGUGAGAGUGGAAAGCUCAUCAAGUGAGGUAACUACCCAGAAAGGGACGGCUAACUACGUGCUAG